This 165-nucleotide ribosomal RNA is filed under the name Adansonia madagascariensis. Its description in RNAcentral is "5.8S ribosomal RNA". It matches the Rfam family "5.8S ribosomal RNA". From Rfam's summary of the family: 5.8S ribosomal RNA (5.8S rRNA) is a component of the large subunit of the eukaryotic ribosome. It is transcribed by RNA polymerase I as part of the 45S precursor that also contains 18S and 28S rRNA. The record is from RNAcentral. Lineage: Eukaryota; Viridiplantae; Streptophyta; Magnoliopsida; Malvales; Malvaceae. RNAcentral also lists the same sequence under 1 other name.
CGAAAUGACUCUCGGCAACGGAUAUCUCGGCUCUCGCAUCGAUGAAGAACGUAGCGAAAUGCGAUACUUGGUGUGAAUUGCAGAAUCCCGUGAACCAUCGAGUCUUUGAACGCAAGUUGCGCCCGAGGCCUUUAGGCCGAGGGCACGUCUGCCUGGGUGUCACGC